This 378-nucleotide unclassified non-coding RNA is filed under the name plant metagenome. RNAcentral describes it as "partial contains 5.8S ribosomal RNA, internal transcribed spacer 2, and large subunit ribosomal RNA". The stretch from base 1 to 105 matches the Rfam family "5.8S ribosomal RNA", at positions 50 to 154 of the family's 154-position model. The record is from RNAcentral.
GAAAUGCGAUAAGUAAUGUGAAUUGCAGAAUUCAGUGAAUCAUCGAAUCUUUGAACGCACCUUGUGCUCCUUGGUAUUCCUUGGAGCAUGCCUGUUUGAGUAUCAUGAAAUCUUCAAAGUAAAUCUUUUGUUAACUCAAUUGGUUUCUACUUUGGUAUUGGAGGUCUUUGCAGCUUCACACCUGCUCCUCUUUGUUCAUUAGCUGGAUCUCAGUGUUAUGCUUGGUUCCACUCGGCGUGAUAAGUUAUCUAUCGCUGAGGACACUGUAAAAGGUGGCCAAGGUAAAUGCAGAUGAACCGCUUCUAAUAGUCCAUUGACUUGGACAAUACUUUUAUGAUCUGAUCUCAAGUCAGGUAGGACUACCCGCUGAACUUAAGC